Molecule: transfer RNA, 74 nt
Filed under: Solirubrobacteraceae bacterium
Lineage: Bacteria; Bacillati; Actinomycetota; Thermoleophilia; Solirubrobacterales; Solirubrobacteraceae
Also listed under: 1 other name
Description: tRNA-Val
Rfam family: tRNA
About the family: Transfer RNA (tRNA) molecules are approximately 80 nucleotides in length. Their secondary structure includes four short double-helical elements and three loops (D, anti-codon, and T loops).
Source: RNAcentral
GGGCGGUUAGCUCAGCUGGUCAGAGCGCGCGCCUUACAAGCGCGAGGUCCCCGGUUCGAUCCCGGGACCGCCCA